UAGCUCAUUGGUUAGAGCGUGGUGCUGAUAACACCAAGGUCACAGGUUCGACUCCCAU
Molecule: transfer RNA, 58 nt
Filed under: Apaloderma vittatum (bar-tailed trogon)
Lineage: Eukaryota; Metazoa; Chordata; Aves; Trogoniformes; Trogonidae
Rfam family: tRNA
About the family: Transfer RNA (tRNA) molecules are approximately 80 nucleotides in length. Their secondary structure includes four short double-helical elements and three loops (D, anti-codon, and T loops).
Source: Rfam by way of RNAcentral